This 448-nucleotide ribosomal RNA is filed under the name uncultured bacterium. RNAcentral describes it as "partial 16S ribosomal RNA". It matches the Rfam family "Bacterial small subunit ribosomal RNA", at positions 338 to 795 of the family's 1533-position model. The record is from RNAcentral.
CCUACGGGAGGCUGCAGUGAGGAAUAUUGCGCAAUGGGGGAAACCCUGACGCAGCAACGCCGCGUGAGUGAGGAAGGUUUUCGGACCGUAAAGCUCUGUCGAGCGGGAAGAAAUGCAUUAUGGCUAAUAUCCAUGAUGCUUGACGGUACCGCUAAAGGAAGCACCGGCUAACUCCGUGCCAGCAGCCGCGGUAAUACGGGGGGUGCUAGCGUUGUUCGGGAGCAUUGGGCGUUGGACAAGUGUAAUGUGCAAGCCCUGGGCUUAACCCAGGAAGUGCAUUUGAAACUGUUCAGCUUGAGUAAGGGAGAGGAAAGUGGAAUUCCUGGUGUAGAGGUGAAAUUCGUAGAUAUCAGGAGGAACACCGGUGGCGAAGGCGACUUUCUGGCCCUAUACUGACGCUGAGACGCGAGAGCGUGGGUAGCAAACAGGAUUAGAUACCCUAGUAGUC